This 73-nucleotide transfer RNA is filed under the name Camelus bactrianus (Bactrian camel). It matches the Rfam family "tRNA". Rfam says of the family: Transfer RNA (tRNA) molecules are approximately 80 nucleotides in length. Lineage: Eukaryota; Metazoa; Chordata; Mammalia; Artiodactyla; Camelidae. RNAcentral also lists the same sequence under 2 other names. The record is from Rfam by way of RNAcentral.
GAGGGUAUAGCUCAAGUGGUAGAGCACAUGCUUAACAUGUAGGAGGUUUUGGGUUCAAUCCCCAGUACCUCCU